UACGUAGGGUGCGAGCGUUGUCCGGAAUUAUUGGGCGUAAAGGGCUCGUAGGCGGUUUGUCGCGUCGGGAGUGAAAACCCAGGGCUUAACCCUGGGCUGGCUUCCGAUACGGGCAGACUAGAGGUAUGCAGGGGAGAACGGAAUUCCUGGUGUAGCGGUGAAAUGCGCAGAUAUCAGGAGGAACACCGAUGGCGAAGGCAGCUCGCUGGGACGGUACUGACGCUGAGGCGCGAAAGCGUGGGGAGCAAACAGG
RNAcentral lists this ribosomal RNA (253 nucleotides) under uncultured bacterium. RNAcentral's name for it is "partial 16S ribosomal RNA". It matches the Rfam family "Bacterial small subunit ribosomal RNA", at positions 524 to 776 of the family's 1533-position model. The record is from RNAcentral.